This 1200-nucleotide ribosomal RNA is filed under the name Gorgorhynchoides gnathanodontos. RNAcentral describes it as "partial large subunit ribosomal RNA". It matches the Rfam family "Eukaryotic large subunit ribosomal RNA", at positions 76 to 967 of the family's 3401-position model. Lineage: Eukaryota; Metazoa; Acanthocephala; Palaeacanthocephala; Echinorhynchida; Rhadinorhynchidae. The record is from RNAcentral.
UCUAUUAGUAAUGGCGAAUGAACAUAGAAAGACCGUCGUCGAAUCGUGUUGCGAUACGUAACGCGAGGUGUGAUGUUGUGGCAUUGUUUCCAUCCAGGGCCAUUUGAGAAGUGGUGUGAUUUCGAUUGAAACCGGUAAACCCAGGGAAGGUGAAAGGCCUGUUUCGGCCACUAUCUUGGUCUGAUUACAAUUGCCGAUGAGUAGAAUUGCUUGAGAUCGCAGUUCCAAUAUGUGUGAUGAAUUCCACACAAGUCUCAGUAUUACUGCGAGACCGAUAGCGAACAAGUACCUUGAGGGAAAGUUGAAAAGCACUCUGAAAAGAGAGUUCAUAAGCGCGUGAAACUGCACAUUUUGAAGCGAAUGACUGGGUAAUAUUUUGGGUGCAAUCUGGCGUGUCCUAUGUCUGGUUCGGCCUGCGGUUUAGUUCGUUCAGGGUUGUCUUUUGCUCCCUGUGACAAUUUCUUUUCCGCAUUGAGCUCCAGCAUGGAGGCAUGUUUCUGAUUGUGUCCUGCGCUGCUUGCUAAGUUGAUCUGAAUGUUGGAUGCUGUCGAGAGGGAAUCUUUCCUUCGUGUUAUUCCUUUUGCUUAACGCGUCUGUAGUUACAAUGCUUUUGCGCUGUGAUGCAUUGCAUUGUUUAUCUGAUCAGCUUAGUAUUGAAUCGCCUUGCUGUGUGUGCUAAUUGUGCAAUUCUACAUUUGGUAUUGCUUGUCGGCGGCGAUUUUUACCGUUACUACGACGGUCAUAGUCGGCAAAUGGUGCCUUAUGUGUGCACUUGCUCCAGCGUGGUAUGACCAAAGCAGCUGUUUGAUUGCGCAGCAUUUGAACCGUCUUGAAACACGGACUAAGGAGUUCAACUUGGACGCGAGUCGUUUUUCCAGGAGGAUUUUGUUGAAAGGCGUAGUGAAAUCGACUUAGUAUGUAGAGAUGUUAACUGAUUGAUUGUACCUCCUUCUUCAUUGAUGGAUGGUACUUCAUUGAUGGCAAGCACGUGUGAUGAGUAGCACAUUAGUUCUAGUUGCUUACUGCACCUGAGCGUUCAGGUUGAGACCCGAAAGAUGGUGAACUAUGCCUGAGUAGAAUGAAGCCAGGAGAAAUUCUGGUGGAAGUUUGUAGCGGUUUUGACGUGCAAAUCAAUCGCCAAACUUGGGUAUAGGGGCGAAAGACUAAUCGAACCAUCUAGUUGCUGGUUCCCUCCGAAGU